RNAcentral lists this ribosomal RNA (253 nucleotides) under uncultured bacterium. Its description in RNAcentral is "partial 16S ribosomal RNA". It matches the Rfam family "Bacterial small subunit ribosomal RNA", at positions 524 to 776 of the family's 1533-position model. The record is from RNAcentral.
UACGUAGGGGGCAAGCGUUGUCCGGAAUCAUUGGGCGUAAAGAGCGUGUAGGCGGCCCGAUAAGUCCGCCGUGAAAGUCCAGGGCUCAACCCUGGAAUGCCGGUGGAUACUGUCGGGCUAGAGUCCGGAAGGGGCGAGUGGAAUUCCUGGUGUAGCGGUGAAAUGCGCAGAUAUCAGGAGGAACACCGAUGGCGAAGGCAGCUCGCUGGGACGGUACUGACGCUGAGACGCGAAAGCGUGGGGAGCAAACAGG